AAGGGAUAGCACUUUGGGUGUGGUCAACAAAAAUUCUUACAAAUAAGAGAUAGCAGAAUCCGAAAAACAGUCAAACACCCCUUAAAGAAUAGCAGUUGGUCGAAUUUUAAAACCUAAGAGAUAACAGAGUCGGAAAAACCGUUAAACACCCCCUAAAGGAUAGCAGUUGGCCAAAAUUUUUCACCCUAAAAGAUGGGAUGACCAGCGCCGUCUACUUCUCUGGAGCUCCUGCGUACGAUUCCCUUCGAUCGCUCAAAGCCAAAGAUUAUUUCCUAAAAUACUUCAUUGACUGUGCUCUUUCAUGUGAGCUAGUUCUUGUACGCGCCUGGGAAAAACGCAAAGCAAGAAUUAAACACGAAGGCGCGGUAUAAAAGGGUGCUUCCAUUGGAAGCAUCGGCUCAUUUGUCAAUCAACCGCCGUGGAGUGAGGAGCAAAUUCAAGAUGGCGGCAAAAGUCAAGUACAAAACACAGAGGGGAGAGGUUUCAAAGCGCGUCCUGAUGUAUAAAAAUGCCAACUCUACCUUCUAGUCCGAUAGAAUGUGUAAAAAAAGAAACAAAGCUAAGAAACCAACGUGGUUUAUGCAAAAAAGGAGCAAACGCAUGAUCGGAAAACAACGAUUCCAAACCUCGACAAAAGCUAUACCCAAGAAGCAAGUCAUAGUGACAUCUGAAUAAUCAACAAGAUAUAAUCCUCAAGAAAAAGCAGAUACAUAGACAUAUACAGUAUUACAUUUUCCAUGUGAUUUUUAAUCAUAAACAUUCCUUUAUAAAGGAAACAUGUUUUGUUGCUAUCAAGUUGAUUUAUGUGUUUUGAAGUGUAUAAAGCAACCAGUCAUAUUUAAUAAACUGCAUUAUAGAUUAUACUUUUGAAUAAACCAAAAUGCUUUCUCAUUCAGUUCAAGGCUUUUCAUUCUUACAGUAAAAGCAAGUGUAAAUACAGGGAGGAUAUCAAUUGUAAAAGUCAUGUCUCUAUUUUGUAUAAUUAACUUAUAAAGUAUAAAACAUUUGUUUGGGUAAACUCUUUUAAAACCAAAGAUCCAGGCCGUUUUUUGACAAAUAGAAACAAAGCUAAUUCAAUUGCUAUUAUUUCUACAUUAUUUGUGGUCAUCAUAGAUCGCAAGAUAAAAACAAAAUACUAUACAGGUGCAUUCUGAUCCAAAAAGUAGAAAGACUCAAUUAUGGCUCAAUCUCACUUAGAUGGAUAUCAGGCAUUUCUUUAGUAGCCCUUCAGUGGUUUGGUGUACAUAUAUGUGUAAGUAUACAAGCUGAUAUAUUGUACAAAGGGUUAUCUGCUGUUUCUGUGAGCCAGCUAUGCACUAAAAAAAAUAUUGAAACAAAUGUUAUCUUAUAUUGUAUACCCCUCCCUUGUUUUUUACAGUUUCUGUGAGCCAGUUAUGCACUAUAAAAAAACAAAUAUUGAAACAAAUGUUUUCUUUUAUUGUAUACCACUCCCUUGUUUUGUGCAGAAAAAUAGUAAGUGUUGCAUUUUAUUGGGAUGGUACUAAGCCCUACUUUUAACCCAGUCAGUUGCUGAAGCCUGAUCAUGGUAAACAUGUAUUGAUCAACUAUUAAAUUUGGUAAAAAGAUAAUAAAGACAAAUUGACUUUCUGUCAAA
This is a long non-coding RNA of Nematostella vectensis (starlet sea anemone), 1615 nucleotides long. RefSeq lists it as uncharacterized. The transcript is spliced from 2 exons. The record is from RefSeq and is a predicted model, not a curated record. NCBI's taxonomy places the organism in Eukaryota, Metazoa, Cnidaria, Anthozoa, Actiniaria, Edwardsiidae.